UCAAAAAGCAUAAAAAGUGUGAAUAAAGGGGUGCCUUGUGCUUCCCAGAAGAGAGGAACACAAGCCAGCCUCAGAAAGUUUGGAAGGAUGAAAGGAGGAGAGAACCAGAUGUGAUGCUUUAGUGCUGCAGAGCAGGGGGAUAGAGAACAAGUGAGGACUCUCACAGGGGGCACACGAGGACUCUGUCAACCUGGAAGAGGUGAGUGUGGUCCCCAUUUGACAGCCAGAAAGGAAAUGGAGACCUCCAGUUUGGCUGAAACCUUCAACAAGCUGGAUUCCACUACAACCUGAAUGAGGCUGGAAGGGGGUUCAUGCUCAGAGUCUCUGGAACAGAAAGCUGCCUGGCUGCCUUCUGCCUUAUGAGGCUCCACAUGGGGAACCCAGUUCGGCCGUGCUGUGCCCAGACUUGUGACCCACAGGAACUGUGAAAUAAUAAAAGGUGUUUUUUUAAGCUGCUAACCUGAUGGUAAUUUGUCACACAGCAACUGGAAACUA
Hyaena hyaena (striped hyena) is the source of this 495-nucleotide long non-coding RNA. RefSeq lists it as uncharacterized. The transcript has 3 exons. Lineage: Eukaryota; Metazoa; Chordata; Mammalia; Carnivora; Hyaenidae. The record is from RefSeq and is a predicted model, not a curated record.